Molecule: ribosomal RNA, 254 nt
Filed under: uncultured bacterium
Lineage: Bacteria
Description: partial 16S ribosomal RNA
Rfam family: Bacterial small subunit ribosomal RNA
Source: RNAcentral
UACGUAGGUGGCUAGCGUUGUCCGGAUUUACUGGGCGUAAAGAGCGCGCAGGCGGUCGUUCAAGUCGGGUGUGAAAGCCCCCGGCUCAACUGGGGAGGGUCACUCGAUACUGAUCGACUCGAAGGCAGAAGAGGGAAGCGGAAUUCCCGGUGUAGUGGCGAAAUGCGUAGAUAUCGGGAGGAACACCAGUGGCGAAGGCGACUACCUGGCCUGUUUCUUGACGCUGAGGCGCGAAAGCUAGGGGAGCAAACGGG